This 1394-nucleotide ribosomal RNA is filed under the name Oxalobacteraceae bacterium HP9R. RNAcentral's name for it is "bacterial SSU rRNA". It matches the Rfam family "Bacterial small subunit ribosomal RNA". Lineage: Bacteria; Pseudomonadati; Pseudomonadota; Betaproteobacteria; Burkholderiales; Oxalobacteraceae. The record is from RNAcentral.
AGUCGAACGGUAACAGGUCUUCGGAUGCUGACGAGUGGCGAACGGGUGAGUAAUAUAUCGGAACAUACCCUAGAGUGGGGGAUAACGUAGCGAAAGUUACGCUAAUACCGCAUACGAUCUGAGGAUGAAAGUGGGGGCUCGCAAGACCUCAUGCUCAUGGAGUGGCCGAUAUCUGAUUAGCUAGUUGGUGAGGUAAAGGCUCACCAAGGCGACGAUCAGUAGCUGGUUUGAGAGAACGACCAGCCACACUGGAACUGAGACACGGUCCAGACUCCUACGGGAGGCAGCAGUGGGGAAUUUUGGACAAUGGGGGCAACCCUGAUCCAGCAAUGCCGCGUGAGUGAAGAAGGCCUUCGGGUUGUAAAGCUCUUUUGUCAGGGAAGAAAAGGUCGCCUCUAAUACAGGCGGCUCAUGACGGUACCUGAAGAAUAAGCACCGGCUAACUACGUGCCAGCAGCCGCGGUAAUACGUAGGGUGCAAGCGUUAAUCGGAAUUACUGGGCGUAAAGCGUGCGCAGGCGGUUAUGUAAGUCAGAUGUGAAAUCCCCGGGCUCAACCUGGGAACUGCAUUUGAGACUGCAUGGCUAGAGUGUGUCAGAGGGGGGUAGAAUUCCACGUGUAGCAGUGAAAUGCGUAGAUAUGUGGAGGAAUACCGAUGGGCGAAGGCAGCCCCCUGGGAUAACACUGACGCUCAUGCACGAAAGCGUGGGGAGCAAACAGGAUUAGAUACCCUGGUAGUCCACGCCCUAAACGAUGUCUACUAGUUGUUGGGUCUUAAUUGACUUAGUAACGCAGCUAACGCGUGAAGUAGACCGCCUGGGGAGUACGGUCGCAAGAUUAAAACUCAAAGGAAUUGACGGGGACCCGCACAAGCGGUGGAUGAUGUGGAUUAAUUCGAUGCAACGCGAAAAACCUUACCUACCCUUGACAUGUACAGAAUGCCGAAGAGAUUUGGCGGUGCUCGCAAGAGAACUGUAACACAGGUGCUGCAUGGCUGUCGUCAGCUCGUGUCGUGAGAUGUUGGGUUAAGUCCCGCAACGAGCGCAACCCUUGUCAUUAGUUGCUACAUUAAGUUGAGCACUCUAAUGAGACUGCCGGUGACAAACCGGAGGAAGGUGGGGAUGACGUCAAGUCCUCAUGGCCCUUAUGGGUAGGGCUUCACACGUCAUACAAUGGUACAUACAGAGGGCCGCCAACCCGCGAGGGGGAGCUAAUCCCAGAAAGUGUAUCGUAGUCCGGAUUGUAGUCUGCAACUCGACUACAUGAAGUUGGAAUCGCUAGUAAUCGCGGAUCAGCAUGUCGCGGUGAAUACGUUCCCGGGUCUUGUACACACCGCCCGUCACACCAUGGGAGCGGGUUUCACCAGAAGUAGGUAGCUUAACCGCAAGGAGGGCG